UAAGUUGCUGUGAGUGGAUAAGUAAGUUAACGGAAAUUGUCAGAGAGCCUGCGUUCGGUGUGAGUAGGUAAGGGAAGUUAGCCCAAAAUGGUCCAUGAGUAUAGUGGUGUGAGCUGUCAGAUGAGUAUCACUCGGAAAUCUCCGUUAUCAGAUAUGAGUAUGAAUGCGACUGAUGAAGUGAUUGCUCAUCAGAGUAAGCAGAGUACUUAAUGAGGCGCAUUCAGUGAUGAAUGUGUGGAUAAAGGUGGUACCGUGAAGUCUUCACCCUUUAU
This 272-nucleotide non-coding RNA is filed under the name Dolosigranulum pigrum. Its description in RNAcentral is "T-box sequence". It matches the Rfam family "T-box leader". Rfam says of the family: Uncharged tRNA acts as the effector for transcription antitermination of genes in the T-box leader family. The record is from RNAcentral. Lineage: Bacteria; Bacillati; Bacillota; Bacilli; Lactobacillales; Carnobacteriaceae.